RNAcentral lists this unclassified non-coding RNA (294 nucleotides) under uncultured Actinomycetes bacterium. Its description in RNAcentral is "uncultured actinobacterium contains 16S-23S intergenic spacer region". Lineage: Bacteria; Bacillati; Actinomycetota; Actinomycetes. The record is from RNAcentral.
UCCGGUUUAUCACCGGCAGUCUCCACAGAGUCCUCGGCUUUACCCGUUAGUAACUGUGAACAAGGGGGCGCCUGUCUCCAGACGUUUCCGGUGUAUGUCAAGCCUUGGUAAGGUUCUUCGCGUUGCGUCGAAUUAAGCCACAUGCUCCGCUGCUUGUGCGGGCCCCCGUCAAUUCCUUUGAGUUUUAGCCUUGCGGCCGUACUCCCCAGGCGGGGAACUUAAUGCGUUAGCUGCGGCACCGACGACGUGGAAUGUCGCCAACACCUAGUUCCCACCGUUUACGGCGUGGACUAC